CACACCAUAAAAUCCACCCAUUUAAAGUAUACAGUUCAAUGGCGUUUAGUGCUUACAGAGUUGUGCAACACAAUCAACUCCAGAACAUUUCCAUCACUCCACAGAGAAACUCCUGGACCCACUAGCAGUCACUCUCCAUUUCCCUCCAAGCGCCCGCUGCCCCAGGCAACCACUAAGCUACCGUCCGUCUCUGUGGAUUUGCCUGUUCUGGCCUUUUCACAUAGAAGGAACCAUACAAUAUGUGCUUUUGUGACCGGCUUCUGUCACUCAGCAUAAUGUUUUUAGGGUUCAUCCAUGUUGUAGCCUGUGUCAGAAUUUCAUUCCAUUUAUGGUCAAAUAAUAUUCCACUGUGUGGAGAUAACACAUUUUGUUGGUCCAUUCAUCAGCUGAUGGGCAUUUGGGUUCUUUCCACCUUUUGGCUCUUGUGGAUAGAGCCGCCAUGAGCACUCAUGUACAACUUUUUGUGUGGUCAUACGUUUUCAGUUCGUUGGGGAUCUACCCAGGAGUGGAAUUGCUGGAUCCUAUGAUAACUCUUUGCCUUGAGGAAUGGCCAGGCCAGCCUGUUUUCCAAAGCAACUGCACCAUUGUACAUUCUCACCAGCAGUGUAUGAGGGUUUGCAUUUCUCCACGUCCUGCCAACACUUGCAUUACCUGUCUUCUUAAAACUACAGCCACCUUAGUGGGUGUGAAGCAGUAUCUUGUCGUGGUUUAACGUGCAUUUCCCUGAUGGCUCAUGAGGCUGAGUGCCUUUCCGUGUGCUUAUUGGCUAUUCGUGUAUCUGCUUUCAAGAAAUGUCUAUUCCAAUGUAAUUCUGUUUUUAAAAACAAAACUCCUGUUUUGUAGACGAGGAUUCUCCAUUCUGUCUGGAACUUUCCUAGCUCUACAGGGGACGCUCUGCAAGGAAAGCCCACCAGCCAUUUUGGCUUGAGGGUCUCAAGUUUUUGCUUGGUUAAACAAACCAGCAGUUUGUCCAUUCCAUCCAGCCGAGCCCGUGCGCCAUCAGAGACUAGGAAAUAGGGCAAUUAUUGCUUGCGUACUUUCUUCCCGCAGCUGGGAGGGGAGAAGGCACACCAGCAGUUCUUCUGUCUCCCUCUGAGAUGCUCUUGAUCCCAAACGGGAGACAAGAACCAGGUGUCACAGCGCCCUCCGAGCGCUUCCAAACCCACAGUCCCUUUUCCACCAAAUUGGAGGGAACCCAUGAGGUGUUUAGACUUUGCCUGACUUUCAUCAUCGUACCAUUUUCAGGGAAUAAGGCACAUGGCUAUUCCUGGAGCCUUCAUUUAGUUUGGCCUAAAUUGUUGCAUUUCUGGGCGAAUCUUCCCGAAGCACGUGGUCUGGGUUGAGACCCUGCCUGAGUUUCUACCUUAGUGACCCAUUCCUUCCUGUUUUUAUUUCAUUUGGGCCAUUUCAAUUUGGAAAAGGAAAUUAAAAUAGCAAUAGAGAUGCUGUAACAGUAAUCAUGUUUUAAUUUUUGCUGACUUGGUUGUGAAGGAGUAGAAACCCACCCAAAUAGGGUUAAAAGUGUGAAAAUCAACUCAGACUGAAAAGAAACAAAGGCAGCUCUGCCAUCCCUCUGGCUGGGGGACAGACACAGACAAAACCAGCUGCAAAGUUAACAGGAAACGCUGCUUUCCCCAAGGUCCUGCAAGAGGUGUAAAAUGCCACAAUCACCCCCUCAUUGGCGACUGCUGCUUUCUCACCAAUGAGACCCCGCGAGAGCCCUGCUGCUGUUUUGAUUUACUCCUGGGGAAACCCAAUUGCUAAGCUGCUCUUGCCUAAUGACAGCACCCAGCCCCUAAUUAAUCCCCAUUUCUCCUAAUCUUGCCUCAGAAACAGUCACCAAUCCAGAACUGACCCCUGCCUCCCUUGGACCCUUCCAGAACCCGUCAGUGGGAACCCAAAUCUUAGAAAAGACACUCCCCCCUCUUUUGUCCAGCAGCGUUCCACACUCCCUCACUGGACAAAGUUAAUAAAUUUGACAGGCCUGUCCUCUGCGGUCUGUGGCUGCUUAGACUGUGAGAGUCGGUAUUAACCUGGUGUCGCCCAGCUCCGUUUUUCCAUUCAGCUAAACUUUUGUUUGCCCUCCGGGAUAAUUAACCCAGGGUAAUGACUGCUUAGGUGCUUUCCUCCUGCCAGCAGGAAGGGAAAACAAUCAUGCCUAUUAGCAGCUCUCUCAGAGCUGUUCACCGAUUCCAGGUGGGCCCGAAACACUGCUGCUCACGCGGGAAGGCGGACGACCUCCAGGCCCAGCCACGGACGGCCCUUGGGUGGAGGGUCCACGAUCAGGGCCUCUCCCCACACCCUGCCAUGGGACCACGUGGGCACCUGGCCCUGUCCCCAGAGAGCUGUCUGUCCCGGGGUGAGUCCUUCCUCUGUUUGGGCCUCAGUUCAUCUCUCAGCUCACUAAGGCCCCUUCUUCCUAGUCAGACAAUCUGUGAUUCAAAAUAUAGCACUAAGUGGGGUUCCCAGUAACAAAAAUCACUAGCAUUUCUUAAAGGCUUUCCAUGUCCUGGCACUAUGCUUAGCAUUUUGUACACAUUUCCCAUUUAGUUCUCAUAACAAUAAAUUAAAUAUUAUUUUCCCAUUUUUACAUGAGGAAACUGAGGCAGAGAGAGCUUAAGUGACUUGUCAUAGCUAGUAAGGGGCAACCCUUACAUUUAAUCAGCAUAGCAUACUGUUUCCCUAAGUAUCAUGGAGAGAUCAAAAAGAAACUGAGGCUCAGAGAGAGCUGUGACUCCCCUCUGUCACACAGCCAGAACCCAGGUCCCCUGGCUCCCAGGCCACUACCCUCUCCUGGCCUCUCUUUCUAGAGCUGCUAGCAAUGCCCCCUCCAAACCGGUCUGGCCAGGGCAAAGGGAGGGCUUUCCCUGAAGGGUCCUGGCCCUUUAAAGUAACCUGACCUGCAGCGGCACACCUGGACUAGAGAGAAACGCAAGGGGUGGGGGGCGCUCCAAGAAAAGGUGCCUGGUGCUGGCUGCUCUGGGAGGGUCCAGCCCUGCCCACCUCGCAGCCUUCGGUGGAAGGACCAGGCCCAGAUCUGUGAUAGGUUUCAUUUGACCUUGGAGUAUUCAUUUUUUUUGCUGACCUUUAAAAAUCAGAAUUUAGGUUUUCUCUUCUAACAUCAGAAGGUAUGGAAACACCAGAUCCCUGUUCUGCAUGGCCUAAGCGCUCAUUCACCGUGGUCCCCACCCUCAUUUACAAGCUUCGCCCGGAGGCUGAGCCCAGCUCUGACACACAUGCACACAUUUACAACCUGCUCUGGCUUCUGCACGUGCACACUCAGCCCUCCAGCUCCUCUGUCCCCUGGCGCUCUGCAUCCACAGAGCAGCGGCCUCCAGGCCCUGAGACCGUCUGACCUGCUCCUGGCUGGAACAAUUGCCCACUGAGCGUUUAGUUCAGUGGCUGAGCCCUGGAGAGGGGAAGGUUUUGCCCCCAGUCAGGGAUCAGGGGAAGUUCUGUAUGAGGUAUGUUUGAUCGUAUUCUAAGUUACAGAAAAUUCGCAGUUGGGAAUCCAGCUCUACCCACUGCAAAAGGGAAUGAGGGACCCCACAUUUGAUCGAGUGGACAGGACUAUUGUGCCCUGACCAGUUACUUCGUUACUCUGAGCCUUGGCUUCUGCAUUCCUAUGAGAACUGCCCCCAGCCAGAGCACUUGAUUAAUCAGCAGGUGGAUUAUCUGGGCUCUGACUUCAAUACAAGGAGCCUCAGCUCUUUUCUUUGUGAAAACACCAUCACUUACUCGGUAACAGAGGCUGUACUGCAGACAGGAUUCCAGGAAUCUGUUUUGUCAACUGCAUGGUCUCUCUUCGACUGCCUCUAUGAGGAUUGUCUCUACUCUGCGUUAGCUGUGUGACUUUAGGCAAGUGACUCAACCUCUCUGAGCCUCCAUUUCUUCAUCUAGGAAGUGGAUAUAUUAAUAGCACCAACUUCAUAGGGUUUUUGUAAGGAUUUAGUGAGAUAUUAGGUGAAGGGCAUAGUGCAGUGCCUGGAGCACAGUAUGUGUUCAAUGGACGUUAGCAAUAUUUUGCUCGACACUCAAGCACCCACUUUCAGAAAUUAAUCUAGCACGAAAGCCACAUUACUAGUACCAUACCUACUUUCUUGACAGCUCUUUAUACCAGGAACAGGCUAAUACUUACAAAGGGUUCCGAUGGUUACAAUCUUCACAACUGCCCCACGAAAGGAUCUGGCCAGAAGUGGCAUCCGCAUUUGGCAGGUGGCAGGUAAAGCGAGGCACUAGUGGUCAGACACGAAGACAGGCAGAGCUGGGCUAGAACCUGGGUCUCCAGCCUCCCGGCCAGGAUUCUGCUUCCUACGUCCUGUUGACCACCCGCUGAGAUGAUCAGCUGAAGUGGAUGAUUCAGAAGCCCCUCGAAUGACCUAGGCUCCUGGGACACCAUUGGGAACGCCAAUUCUUGCCAUGCAGACGGCAAAUUUGGUAAGUCUGAUAAACUCAUCUGUUUGGAUGUCCAAGACCUCUUCUGUGUUUUGAGAGAAGAUGGCGAAGACCAAAAUUUUUAACAUUUUAGCUGUAAUAGUAUUACACCAUUGGAGAGACUAAAAGCUGAACAAGUUUUCUGGAAGGUAAUUGGGAAAUACAUAUCAAGUGACUUUAUAAAAUGUGGUUUGGGUACAUUUCACUCCAAUUCACUCCUGGGAGUAUCUCCUAAGAAAAAUCAGGUAAGCAUGAAAAGAUUUACCUUAUAUCAUUGUUUAUGAAACCAAAGUUUAGAAACAAUCUAAGUUUACAGUACUAGGGGAUUUGGUUAAAUAAGUGAUCAUCUAGCCAUACAAUGAGGUAGUGUGUGUCAUUAAAAAUGAAGACGUAGCUUGACAUAUUUCAGGAUGGAAAGAGUUUCUUCUUAUACUGUUGCAGGGGCAGUGGGGGAGGGGAGCAAGUUACCCAUGGCAUGGAUAGCAGCAUCCUGUGUGUGUGUGCAGAAACACACUCUUACACAUGCAUGUGCGCGCAUAUAUCUGCAUACGUCUGGAAGGCAAACCAAGUUGUUAACAGUGGUUACUGCUAAGUAGAAAUAUGGAUUUUUUUCUCAUUAGGUUUUUAGAUUUUUUCAAUAACGAGCAUGUUUCUCGUGUAAUUUUUUACAGAGAAAACGAUUUGGGGUGUAUGCCCUGGGGAUUUCUACUCAGUGGAAGCUGGGUCCCUGGGCACUGCCCCAGCCAUCCCACCCCUUCUCUUCCCUGUACCCUCGUCCCCAGCCACCCCUCCCCUUCCCAUAAGCCCUUAGCCACGUGAAGAGAGGCAGGGAGCAGGGGCUCCUCAGAGUGCCCCCCCUCCCAGAGUUCCAGGUCAUGUGCUUUCCCCUCCUCCCCUGCCUGCCUGGUCAUUUCAGAUGAAGGCCUGGAGGUCCACCAGGAGGUAGUUUCCAGCAAGAAGGAGACGGAGGCCAGGCUGUCCCACAGAGGCCGGCCUUUUUCCCAGGACUAUGACAAGGCACGGCUGCCCUUCUUUCUCCACUGGGAGACUGGGGAGGAGGACGUCUGAGGCCUGCCAGGUGUCCCACUCUGUGCAGAAGCGCAUGGUGAUUAAGACCAAGGAUCCUUGCAGCUACGAGGGGCUGAGGCAAGACCUCCACCAGCUAAGCCAGUGGCCACACAGCAGAGUCCCCACUCCCUUGGGUUCCAACUUCCAUCUCCAAAACCACUGUCUCCUCUGCGUUAAGGGGCACCAUGCAGAGAUAAAGUCCCGCAGUUCAGGCCUGAGGAAGUGGGAGAGCUGGUUACCUGCACCCUCAUGCCAACCGGGCGGUGUCUGGCAUGAGUGGGAAGGUCGAGGGACGGCAGGAGGGGCCACAUUCCCCUGGACAGAGAGUUGGGAACUGCGCGCCUGGCACCCCAGCCCUCCCGCGCCUGCCACCUGGUCUUGGCGCUGCCCCCAGCAUCCCUCUUCUCGAGAACCCCUCUCCGGCUCCAGCCCCACUUGCGGGCUCCCCAGUGGCGGCCUGGAGGAGCUGUGGGUGUGGUGAGGGCUCUGGGGGCGGGCCUGCGCGAGGGAUCCUGGAGAGCUGGACGGGCUGCAGGCAGGAGGCAUCCCCUCUCCACUUACCUGGCAGUCACCGCUCAUCUGCCUCCGCCUGGCCCAGGGACUUGGCCAAGUCCUUUCACUCGCUGGCCUCCGAGGCCAGGGCCCAGACACUCUGGGGCUGAACCCACACCUGGUUCACGCUCCGGUUCUGAACGCCUUGCUUUACUUCUCAGUGCAUCCGUGUCCACACCUGCAAAGUAGAAGAAUAAAACAGAAUGAAGCUGUUUAGUGAAAACACCUUGCAAACACUCAAACCGCCAGGGUCAGAUCCAGUAUAGCAUCAGCAAGUGGAGUGGAAAACAGCAUCCAGGCCCCCUGGUCCAGUAUUCAGUCCUCUGUGCUCUGUGCCCUUCUGUCCCCCGGCCCACGGCAUUCAGCCCCCAUAGUGUGACCUUGCCCCCCCCGCCCAGCACCUUCCUGGUGGACACGGCCACCUCCACUCAAUCAGAGGUCUCCCUGGCCACGCUCGGAGUUCCUGGACUUCAGCAGCAUGGAGCAUGCACCCUGCAGGAGAUGGUCCUGUGCACAGCCGCCCUGGCCCCCCAGCCAUCCCAGACCUGCUGAGUCUGCUGCAGAAUACCCACACCAACACUCUACCCAAGGGGGCUGUGGGCAUAGCUCGGGGAGGGAGGAAUGAAGAGGAUAAUGGCAGCAAACACUUAGGCAGCACUUAGCAUGUGCCACACUGUGCUAAGGGGUUUGUGUGGAUUGCAAAGUCAUGCAAAAAUAUACAUUUCAAUCCUCACAAUAAUCCUGUGAAAUACAUACUGUUAUUAUUAUCCUCAUUUUAUAGAUGAAGAAACUGAGGCUCAGAGAGGUUAAAUAACUUGCCAAAGAUUACACAGUGAGUGGUGGAGUCAGAAUUGGAAGCCAGGUAGUCUGGCUCCAAGGCCUCUGCUGUUCAGCGCAUGAGGCUCCAGAGGCCACCCCAGCGCUGUUGCAUUGUCUCUCUCAAGGCCCCACCCCCACCCCAUGCUCCUCCCACCCACGUGGAGUAAAGGAGAACCUGUGGAGCUCAGAUGGGACAGAGGUUGGGAAACCACUGGCCUAAGAGCAGGAGACUUGAGGUCCGUCAGGAACGUACUGCAUGACCGUGGGCAAAUGUCUGUAGGAAACUGGCCUCAGUUUCCCCAUGGGGCUGGGCAGGGUCCUCUCUAAUGUCCACUCUAGCUCUGACAUUCUGUGGUCUGUGAGAAAGCAGAGGCAGUGAGGAGGGACAGUGACCCAACAUUGACCUUUCCCUGCCCAGGCCCCAGGCUCCUCCUACUGCCCACCCAGCUCGUUCCCAGGGAGGGAGAAGAGCACAGGCUCGUGCACUGUGGAUGCUGAUGGUGAGUGGUCAGAACUUAGGAAGGCCCAGAGAGCUCAUGGGGCAUGCCGGAGCCACACAGCCAUGUGGGGUUUCCUUUCUCUCCAGAAUUCCCUGAAUGGAAGGCCCUUGGAGCUGCCCACUGGGGAGUCUGGGAUUAUCAUGCUGGGAGUUGUCUUUGGAAAGGGGGCCCAGCAGGGGUGAUCUAGGCAGCUGGUCCCCGAGAGUUGGAUCUUGAAGGUCAGGGUCGCUUCUGACAGGUGCUGAUUGAGAGGCUGGCAUCCUAGGCCAGAGGAACAGCCCAGGCAAAGGCAAGGAGGUUGAGGUGAUGGGGCCAAUCUGUGGCUGCUGUAGUUUGAGGUCUAGUGGGAGAUGAGAUGGGAAGGCUUAGGAGUUUGGGCAACGUCCAGCAGACAGGUGGCUAUAGGGAGUGACUGAGCAGGGAGUGACCGCAGAGACCUGGGCUCUGCCAGCAGGAGGUGAGCCAGGCCAUGUCCCUGCUCCUGGACGGACUGAGCAAAGUGUCAGGCAACUCAGAGCAGAGGCGGUCUCUGCUGGCCCUGAGGCACGCCUGCUUCCCUGGAACCGUGUCCCUCCCCCAGCACUACAUUUGCUUCCCACAGCCUCCUCUGCCACCACCUGGUCCAGGCACCACCGCCUCCUGGGCAAUGGCAGUGGCCUUGCUCUGACCCAUUCCCUGCUUGGUAGCCUUUAAAAUGUAAGUCAUACUGUGUCAUUCUCUUGUCCACUCCCUGCCCUGGCACAAGGCCCGACCCUUGCUCAUCUAUCCCAUUUUGUUGCUGGUUCUCUCUCCCCAGAGCUGCACCGGUUCUCUGACUGGGCCAGCAACCUGUGGACCCGUUCCUCCUGGAAAGCACCUGCUCAGGCUGUUCCCACUGCUUGCAAUGCUCUUCCCAGCACUUCCCUGCUGCCUCCUUAUCCUCGGGUCUCAGCACAAUCACGGCUCCUUCUGAGAGGCCUCCCUGACCAUCUUGCCCAUAGAUAGUUCGCCACCUCAUUCUCCAUCCUAACACCCUGUGCAUUCCCUCCCAGCACUGUCACAGUCUGAGAGGGGCUUCUUCACUUCAUUCUCAUUCAUUAUCUGCCUCCUCCAUCAGACCCUCAGCUCCAUGAGGGGAGGGACCAUGUCUGUCAUGUUCACCUCUGUAAGGCCCCAAAGCACACAGUAGGUAUUCAAUAAAUGUUUGCUGACUGAAUGACUGAAAGAAGAAGAAUCAGCCCCUGCUCUCAAGAAGCCCCGCCCACCAGAGGGACAGUGAGUGGUGUGAACACAGAUGUAUGUGAAGACAGCUUUGCACGCAUGCACAGAGGAGGGUGCCGCAGACUCAUCUGGGCUCCCAGAGGAGGUGACAUCUGGUCCUAGUCUUGAGAGAAGAGUAGGGAAAAGGCGGGAAGAGCAUGAGGCCUGCAGGGGCGACCACCAGAGCCCCUGUGGUUCCCACUGUGGUCAGGCUGCGGGCGGUGAUGCGUGUGCAAGGCUGACAGCCUGGACGUGUCUCCUCUGGAGGAUGUGAACCUGUGGGCGCAGGAACUGAAAACCAACACCUGGGCAUGGGACAGAGGGGCUCUGAGCUGGCGCCUGAGGUUGUGACAGGGCAUCCAGGGCCCCGAGAUGAACGGGUUUCCCUCAAGCCUGUCCCCACAUGGGCAGCAGGCUUCCUGGACUCCUAGCAGUCUCCUCUCAGCAGGCGCUCAGCCAAGGCAGGGUGGCCCCGGAUUAUCUGGAUAAUGGCUCUAUGUGAGUGAGCAGGAGCCCGAAAAUGGAAAGGGUCUCCCCUUGGGGCUGCCCUGGCAGUGGAUUUCCAGGUCUCUGUGGACAGCCCUUCACCAGGGCCAGCUGACGGCCCAGCUGGAACAGAGGUCCCCCACCGCCCCUGAACACAGCAAUGUUGGCCAGCCCCAUGCGACUGUGUCUGCAGCUCCUGGAGGGGAGACGCCCAUAGGGAAGAGGUGGAACCCCAGGGCCAGGGCCGUUUAGCUCAGACCAGGGUCUGAUGGGAAACUGUUCCAGACCAUCCACUCUCUGCUUCAUGCAUCCACCCACGAUUCACUAACCGUUUAUUGUGUGCCAGGCUCUGAGCUGGAGAGCCAACCUCUGCUCUGGGGGAUUCUCAGGCUAGUGGUGGAGCCAGGUGAGUGACACCCAAGAAGGAUGGGGGAAUGACGGGCUGACGGGAAUAGUAAACAUGAGACAAGGCUUUGGGCAAGAUUACUGUUUCCGCCCUCACUUUUAGCCAUUUCCUUCUAUCUUGUUCCCUGAGGAACUCUGGGGUGGAGAGAAGUCAAUACGCCUUAGCAGGACUCGUUCACUGUUCUCAGUGCCGGCCCUGUGCCGCGUCCAGAGAGAAGUGCAGUCCCUGCCCUCGUUGCUGCUCGGGGGCCAACUGUGGGGCAGGGGCGACACGCAGGCUGGUCUUGUCUCCUGGGCACUGAGGGAGCACUUUCCAGGCACUCAGGAGGGGCUAUAAAGUCUGUCUUGGGAAGACAAGGGAGGGCUCCACGGAGGAAGCAGCCUGGGAAAUGCACUGACGGAGCCUUGAUGGGUCACAGUCCUGCAAUGCAUGAUGGCUGUCCUGGUCCUGCAGUGCACGGUCUCAUCCAAACCCCUCUCAGCACUGUGAGGGAAGACGGAGGCUCAGGCAAGCAUCUCUGGCAAAUAGGCAGUGGGCUGGGCUUUGACCCCAGGCAGUGUGGCCCAAAGACCAGGCUCUACACAGCACAGUCCCCUCUGAAGGGAUGCUGCUGUGGACGGGACUGCAGCUGGCAGAGAGGGGCCGGCUUUCCUGGGUUCCUCUGGCAACAGCCUGAGCAAAGACCUGGAAGCAGGCAGGGGAGGGUGGGCCAAGGCCGAGCGGAUUCUGACAGGGAAUCAGGUAG
This is a long non-coding RNA of Equus caballus (horse), 10249 nucleotides long. NCBI's taxonomy places the organism in Eukaryota, Metazoa, Chordata, Mammalia, Perissodactyla, Equidae. The record is from Ensembl.